Non-coding RNA from Pelobates cultripes (western spadefoot toad), 209 nucleotides. NCBI's taxonomy places the organism in Eukaryota, Metazoa, Chordata, Amphibia, Anura, Pelobatidae. The record is from the annotation of a GenBank genome assembly.
UCCAGUACCACAUACAAACACAUUCACACAAACAUACUCCAUACAAACACAUGCUUACAUUCAAACAUACUAACAUGGCUCAGUGCUAAAUACAACCCUGCAAGCAUGGGAAAUUGGUAGAGCCCCAGCUGUCAAAGCAUUGUUGGAGUUGCACGACAGAUGGGGUUCUACCUUUAGUCCAACCUUGCAAUUGGGGGUCCCAAUAAAAU